RNAcentral lists this ribosomal RNA (500 nucleotides) under uncultured bacterium. RNAcentral describes it as "partial 16S ribosomal RNA". It matches the Rfam family "Bacterial small subunit ribosomal RNA", at positions 30 to 523 of the family's 1533-position model. The record is from RNAcentral.
AUUGAACGCUGGCGGAAUGCUUUACACAUGCAAGUCGAACGGCAGCACGGACUUCGGUCUGGUGGCGAGUGGCGAACGGGUGAGUAAUGUAUCGGAACGUGCCCAGUCGUGGGGGAUAACGUAGUGAAAAUUACGCUAAUCCCGCAUACGAUCUAUGGAUGAAAGCGGGGGAUCGCAAGACCUUGCGCGAUUGGAGCGGCCGAUAUCAGAUUAGGUAGUUGGUGGGGUAAAGGCCCACCAAGCCAACGAUCUGUAGCUGGUCUGAGAGGACGACCAGCCACACUGGAACUGAGACACGGUCCAGACUCCUACGGGAGGCAGCAGUGGGGAAUUUUGGACAAUGGGCGAAAGCCUGAUCCAGCCAUUCCGCGUGCAGGAUGAAGGCCCUCGGGUUGUAAACUGCUUUUGUACAGAACGAAAAGGUUUCUACUAAUACUAGGAGCUCAUGACGGUACUGUAAGAAUAAGCACCGGCUAACUACGUGCCAGCCGCCGCGGUAA